Molecule: ribosomal RNA, 496 nt
Filed under: uncultured bacterium
Lineage: Bacteria
Description: partial 16S ribosomal RNA
Rfam family: Bacterial small subunit ribosomal RNA
Source: RNAcentral
GAUGAACGCUGGCGGCGUGCCUAAUACAUGCCAGUCGAGCGAACGGACGAGAAGCUUGCUUCUCUGAUGUUAGCGGCGGACGGGUGAGUAACACGUGGAUAACCUACCUAUAAGACUGGGAUAACUUCGGGAAACCGGAGCUAAUACCGGAUAAUAUUUUGAACCGCAUGGUUCAAAAGUGAAAGACGGUCUUGCUGUCACUUAUAGAUGGAUCCGCGCUGCAUUAGCUAGUUGGUAAGGUAACGGCUUACCAAGGCAACGAUGCAUAGCCGACCUGAGAGGGUGAUCGGCCACACUGGAACUGAGACACGGUCCAGACUCCUACGGGAGGCAGCAGCAGGGAAUCUUCCGCAAUGGGCGAAAGCCUGACGGAGCAACGCCGCGUGAGUGAUGAAGGUCUUCGGAUCGUAAAACUCUGUUAUUAGGGAAGAACAUAUGUGUAAGUAACUGUGCACAUCUUGACGGUACCUAAUCAGAAAGCCACGGCUAACUACGU